AUGUGGCGUUUAUUCCUAACCAUUGCUUCCAUGCUGGUGCUGGUGGCAGGUCAUGGGCGAGUGAUUCAGCCAACGUCCAGGGCCUCCGCCUGGCGAGCAGGGUUCCCCACCAAGCCAGACUACGAUGACGAUGGCGUCAAUUGCGGAGGCAUGUGGCACCAAUGGAGUUACAAUAAGGGCAAAUGCGGCAUUUGUGGCGACAGGUACGAUGCCAAGCCUCCGCGCGCCCACGAACUCGGCGGCACCUACGGAGAAGGCAUCAUAGUCGCGCAUUACCUUCCUUCAUCCGUCUUUACCGUCACAGUCCACCUCACCACCUCCCACAAAGGAUUCUGGGAGUUCAAACUGUGCCCCGAUCCCCACAGGAACGAUCAAGAGUGCUUUGACGAAUACCCCCUAGAAUUAGAAGAAGGGGCACGAAAUACUAUCCUACACGGGGCAGUGUGAAAUACGACGUCAACUAUCGGUUACCAUCAGGUCUGGUGUGCGACCACUGUGUUCUGCAGUGGAGGUAUACAGCCGGGAAUAAUUGGGGUAUCUGUCCCAAUGGUACUGGGGGGUUGGGGUGCGGGAAUCAGGAGCAGUUCGGGGCCUGCUCUGACGUAUCCAUAGGGGCUGGUAAGAGUGGACUUAAGUACAAGCCUGAGGGAUACGACGAUAUGCCCUCGGUUUUACUUCACUAUUUGUCAAAGGGAUACUAUGAUUUACAAGACCCAUCUUUGAAAGAAGUGGUCCCUGCAUCGAGUCAUAGCAAGAACAAGUCACCGAAUAUAAAGAAUAAAUUAAAGAGGAAGAAACAGCGAAAGAAUAAGAAGAGGAUGAAAUUCUACAAACAGAAGAAAACGCAGUUUUGGAGGUGAUCCGAGCGGACUGAAUCAAAUUCUCGGAAUUAAUAAAGUUUUACAUAUUUGUAAAGUAAUAAAUAAGAUAUUGGUUAUUGUAAAAUUUAAUUGUGACGCAAUGUACAUCAUAAUGUUGUAAUAUCUAUGAGUAAAGACAAUAAAAUGUACUAUAGUUUA
Manduca sexta (tobacco hornworm) is the source of this 1019-nucleotide RNA transcript. RefSeq lists it as uncharacterized. Lineage: Eukaryota; Metazoa; Arthropoda; Insecta; Lepidoptera; Sphingidae. The record is from RefSeq and is a predicted model, not a curated record.